Molecule: long non-coding RNA, 341 nt
Filed under: Solanum lycopersicum (tomato)
Lineage: Eukaryota; Viridiplantae; Streptophyta; Magnoliopsida; Solanales; Solanaceae
Description: long non-coding RNA (SLYC_LNC001004)
Source: RNAcentral
AACAGAAACUGUUUUAACCCAUAGAGAUAAACAGACAUCUUCAACUUAUCCAGUACAAAAACAAGACUUAAAACAGCAACAAAUCUCACUCUCCCUAGACUUGAUUACUUGAUGUACUGAGACAUCCACCUGAAGCCUUCCCCAUAACCCAUUUUGCGGACUAUGCUGCACAUGAACACCUCAAGUGGACGGACAUUGGAUUCUGCCAGGUUUACCUUCCCCUUGCCAGUAGUGACGCCUGUUAGCCCCAAAUGGUAACGCAGUUCGUCUUCAGAGGCAGCAUAAGGAAUGUCUAUCUUGUUACCCAAUAUAAGAAAUGGCACAGUGGCCAAGGACUCGUC